Schistosoma mansoni is the source of this 46-nucleotide non-coding RNA. NCBI's taxonomy places the organism in Eukaryota, Metazoa, Platyhelminthes, Trematoda, Strigeidida, Schistosomatidae. The record is from Rfam.
GCAUUGCUGAGGAGUCUCAUAAUGGGACGAAACGGUCGUCCAGUGU